This 762-nucleotide ribosomal RNA is filed under the name uncultured bacterium. RNAcentral describes it as "bacterial SSU rRNA". It matches the Rfam family "Bacterial small subunit ribosomal RNA", at positions 8 to 796 of the family's 1533-position model. The record is from RNAcentral.
AGAGUUUGAUCCUGGCUCAGAACGAACGCUUGCGGCGCGCCUAAUACAUGCAAGUCGAACGAGGUAGCAAUACCUAGUGGCGCACGGGUGAGUAACGCGUGGAUAAUCUGCCUAUCAGUGGGGAAUAACUAUCCGAAAGGAUAGCUAAUACCGCAUGAGGCCACAGUUUCUGCGGAAACAGGGGUUAAAGAUUUAUCGCUGAUAGAUGAGUCUGCGUGGGAUUAGCUAGUUGGUGGGGUAAUGGCCUACCAAGGCAACGAUCUCUAACUGGUCUGAGAGGAUGACCAGUCACACUGGAACUGAGACACGGUCCAGACUCCUACGGGAGGCAGCAGUAGGGAAUAUUGCGCAAUGGGGGAAACCCUGACGCAGCGACGCCGCGUGAGUGAUGAAGGCCUUAGGGUCGUAAAGCUCUGUUGAAUGGGAAGAAACAAAUGACGGUACCAUUCGAGAAAGGACCGGCUAACUUCGUGCCAGCAGCCGCGGUAAGACGAGGGGUCCUAGCGUUGUUCGGAAUAAUUGGGCGUAAAGCGUGUGUAGGCGGCUAUUCAAGUCAGUUGUGAAAGCCCCGGGCUCAACCCGGGAAGUGCUUCUGAUACUGUUUAGCUUGAGUACUAGAGAGGGCAGUAGAAUUCCAGGUGUAGUGGUGAAAUACGUAGAUAUCUGGAGGAAUACCGGUGGCGAAGGCGGCUGCCUGGCUAUGUACUGACGCUGAGACACGAAAGCGUGGGGAGCAAACAGGAUUAGAUACCCUAGUAGUCC